RNAcentral lists this ribosomal RNA (429 nucleotides) under Chloroflexota bacterium. RNAcentral describes it as "Chloroflexi bacterium partial 16S ribosomal RNA". It matches the Rfam family "Bacterial small subunit ribosomal RNA", at positions 355 to 776 of the family's 1533-position model. The record is from RNAcentral. Lineage: Bacteria; Bacillati; Chloroflexota.
UGGGGAAUAUUGCACAAUGGGCGCAAGCCUGAUGCAGCCAUGCCGCGUGUGUGAAGAAGGCCUUCGGGUUGUAAAGCACUUUCAGCGGGGAGGAAGGCGGUGAGGUUAAUAACCUCAUCGAUUGACGUUACCCGCAGAAGAAGCACCGGCUAACUCCGUGCCAGCAGCCGCGGUAAUACGGAGGGUGCAAGCGUUAAUCGGAAUUACUGGGCGUAAAGCGCACGCAGGCGGUCUGUCAAGUCGGAUGUGAAAUCCCCGGGCUCAACCUGGGACCUGCAUUCGAAACUGGCAGGCUAGAGUCUUGUAGAGGGGGGUAGAAUUCCAGGUGUAGCGGUGAAAUGCGUAGAGAUGUGGAGGAAUACCGGUGGCGAAGGCGGCCCCCUGGACAAAGACUGACGCUCAGGUGCGAAAGCGUGGGGAGCAAACAGG